RNAcentral lists this ribosomal RNA (729 nucleotides) under Poikilolaimus oxycercus. RNAcentral describes it as "SSU rRNA". It matches the Rfam family "Eukaryotic small subunit ribosomal RNA", at positions 236 to 972 of the family's 1831-position model. Lineage: Eukaryota; Metazoa; Nematoda; Chromadorea; Rhabditida; Rhabditidae. RNAcentral also lists the same sequence under 1 other name. The record is from RNAcentral.
CCGUUUGUUGUUGACUCUGAAUAACUUAGCUGAUCGCAUGGUCUUGUACCGGCGACAUAUCUUUCAAGUAUCUGCCUUAUCAACUUUCGAUGGUAGUUUAUGUGCCUACCAUGGUUGCAACGGGUAACGGAAAAUAAGGGUUUGAUUCCGGAGAGGGAGCCUGAGAAACGGCUACCACAUCUAAGGAAGGCAGCAGGCGCGCAAAUUACCCACUGGAGGUGCUCCGAGGUAGUGACUAACAAUAACGAGACCGUCUUCUAUGAGGCCGGUUAUCGGAAUGGGUACAAUUUAAACCCUUUAACGAGGAUCUAUGAGAGGGCAAGUCUGGUGCCAGCAGCCGCGGUAAUUCCAGCUCUCAAGGUGUAUAUCCCUAUUGCUGCGGUUAAAAAGCUCGUAGUUGGAUCUCCGCCUCAGGACGUGGUCCGCCUUUAGGUGUGUACUGCGAUCCUAGGCAGUUACUGCUGGUUUUCAGCCGGUGGCCUUAACUGGUUGCCGGUUGUGGCUAGCGAGUUUACCUUGAGUAAAUCAGAUUGCUCAAGAAAGGCGUUUCGCCUGAAUGUUUGUGCAUGGAAUAAUGGAAUAGGACUUCGGUUCUGUUUUGUUGGUUUUCUGAACUGAAGUAAUGAUUAAGAGGAACAGACGGGGGCAUUCGUAUCGCUGCGUGAGAGGUGAAAUUCUUGGACCGCAGCGGGACGCCCAACAGCGAAAGCAUUUGCCAAGAAUGUUUCA